CGCUGCGCCGUUGCGGCUGCGCCCGCGGCGUUCGCUGCGCCGUUGCGGCUGCGCCCGCGGCGUUCGCUGCGCCGUUGCGGCUGCGCCCGCGGCGUUCGCUGCGCCGUUGCGGCUGCGCCCGCGGCGUUCGCUGCGCCGUUGCGGCUGCGCCCGCGGCGUUCGCUGCGCCGUUGCGGCUGCGCCCGCGGCGUUCGCUACGCCGUUGCAGCUGCACUGGCUACGGCG
RNAcentral lists this long non-coding RNA (225 nucleotides) under Helianthus annuus (common sunflower). RNAcentral describes it as "hypothetical non coding rna". The record is from RNAcentral. Lineage: Eukaryota; Viridiplantae; Streptophyta; Magnoliopsida; Asterales; Asteraceae.